AAGACAACUUUGCACAGUUGACGAUUGACGGAGCGGAGCGACGUCAAAGCGUUUUACAACGUCGAGUUGGCUUAGGGAUACGUUCGUUGGGUAGGGGAGCGUUCUGUAAGCCUGCGAAGGUGGCCUGUGAGGGUUGCUGGAGGUAUCAGAAGUGCGAAUGCUGACAUAAGUAACGAUAAAGCGGGUGAAAAGCCCGCUCGCCGGAAGACCAAGGGUUCCUGUCCAACGUUAAUCGGGGCAGGGUGAGUCGACCCCUAAGGCGAGGCCGAAAGGCGUAGUCGAUGGGAAACGGGUUAAUAUUCCCGUACUUGGUGUUACUGCGAAGGGGGGACGGAGAAGGCUAUGUUGGCCGGGCGACGGUUGUCCCGGUUUAAGCGUGUAGGCUGGUUUUCCAGGCAAAUCCGGAAAAUCAAGGCUGAGGCGUGACGACGAGGCACUACGGUGCUGAAGCAACAAAUGCCCUGCUUCCAGGAAAAGCCUCUAAGCAUCAGGUAACAUCAAAUCGUACCCCAAACCGACACAGGUGGUCAGGUAGAGAAUACCAAGGCGCUUGAGAGAACUCGGGUGAAGGAACUAGGCAAAAUGGUGCCGUAACUUCGGGAGAAGGCACGCUGACAUGUAGGUGAAGUGAUUUACUCAUGAAGCUGAAGUCAGUCGAAGAUACCAGCUGGCUGCAACUGUUUAUUAAAAACACAGCACUGUGCAAACACGAAAGUGGACGUAUACGGUGUGACGCCUGCCCGGUGCCGGAAGGUUAAUUGAUGGGGUCAGCGCAAGCGAAGCUCCUGAUCGAAGCCCCGGUAAACGGCGGCCGUAACUAUAACGGUCCUAAGGUAGCGAAAUUCCUUGUCGGGUAAGUUCCGACCUGCACGAAUGGCGUAAUGAUGGCCAGGCUGUCUCCACCCGAGACUCAGUGAAAUUGAACUCGCUGUGAAGAUGCAGUGUACCCGCGGCAAGACGGAAAGACCCCGUGAACCUUUACUAUAGCUUGACACUGAACAUUGAGCCUUGAUGUGUAGGAUAGGUGGGAGGCUUUGAAGUGUGGACGCCAGUCUGCAUGGAGCCAACCUUGAAAUACCACCCUUUAAUGUUUGAUGUUCUAACGUGGACCCGUUACCCGGGUUGCGGACAGUGUCUGGUGGGUAGUUUGACUGGGGCGGUCUCCUCCUAAAGAGUAACGGAGGAGCACGAAGGUUGGCUAAUCCUGGUCGGACAUCAGGAGGUUAGUGCAAUGGCAUAAGCCAGCUUGACUGCGAGCGUGACGGCGCGAGCAGGUGCGAAAGCAGGUCAUAGUGAUCCGGUGGUUCUGAAUGGAAGGGCCAUCGCUCAACGGAUAAAAGGUACUCCGGGGAUAACAGGCUGAUACCGCCCAAGAGUUCAUAUCGACGGCGGUGUUUGGCACCUCGAUGUCGGCUCAUCACAUCCUGGGGCUGAAGUAGGUCCCAAGGGUAUGGCUGUUCGCCAUUUAAAGUGGUACGCGAGCUGGGUUUAGAACGUCGUGAGACAGUUCGGUCCCUAUCUGCCGUGGGCGCUGGAGAACUGAGGGGGGCUGCUCCUAGUACGAGAGGACCGGAGUGGACGCAUCACUGGUGUUCGGGUUGUCAUGCCAAUGGCACUGCCCGGUAGCUAAAUGCGGAAGAGAUAAGUGCUGAAAGCAUCUAAGCACGAAACUUGCCCCGAG
This 1681-nucleotide ribosomal RNA is filed under the name Salmonella enterica. RNAcentral's name for it is "partial 23S ribosomal RNA". It matches the Rfam family "Bacterial large subunit ribosomal RNA", at positions 1164 to 2803 of the family's 2925-position model. The record is from RNAcentral. Lineage: Bacteria; Pseudomonadati; Pseudomonadota; Gammaproteobacteria; Enterobacterales; Enterobacteriaceae.